This 74-nucleotide transfer RNA is filed under the name Planctomycetales bacterium. RNAcentral's name for it is "tRNA-Gly". It matches the Rfam family "tRNA". Rfam says of the family: Transfer RNA (tRNA) molecules are approximately 80 nucleotides in length. Their secondary structure includes four short double-helical elements and three loops (D, anti-codon, and T loops). Lineage: Bacteria; Pseudomonadati; Planctomycetota; Planctomycetia; Planctomycetales. The record is from RNAcentral.
AGCGAGUGUAGCACAAUGGUAGUGCAACAGCCUUCCAAGCUGAUGACGAGGGUUCGAUUCCCUUCACUCGCUUC